Molecule: ribosomal RNA, 826 nt
Filed under: uncultured archaeon
Lineage: Archaea
Description: bacterial SSU rRNA
Rfam family: Archaeal small subunit ribosomal RNA
Source: RNAcentral
UCACUGCUAUUGGGAUCCGAUUAAGCCAUGCGAGUCGAGAGGGUUCGGCCCUCGGCAGACUGCUCAGUAACACGUGGAUAACCUAACCUUAGGUGGAAGAUAACCUCGGGAAACUGAGAAUAAUAUUCCAUAGGUCUAGGAUGCUGGAAUGCACCUAGGCUCAAAACUCCGGUGCCAUAGGAUGAGUCUGCGGACUAUCAGGUUGUAGUCAGGGUAAAGACCUGACUAGCCUACGACGGAUAUGGGUUGUGAGAGCAAUAACCCAGAGAUGAUAUCUGAGACACGAUAUCAGGCCCUACGGGGCGCAGCAGGCGCGAAAACUUCACAAUGUGCGAAAGCGCGAUGAGGGAAUCCCAAGUGCUUGCACGUAAGUGUAAGCUGUUUUUAUGUUUAAAACGCAUGGAGAGUAAGAGCUGGGUAAGACGGGUGCCAGCCGCCGCGGUAAUACCUGCAGCUCAAGUGGUGGCCACUAUUAUUGGGGCUAAAACGUCCGUAGCCUGUUUAAUAAAUGCCUGGGUAAAUCGUGUAGCUUAACUAUACGAAUUCCGGGUAGACUGUUAAAUUUGAGACCGGGAGAAGUUAGAGGAACUCCUGGGGUAGAGGUGAAAUUCUGUAAUCCUAGGGGGACCACCGGUGGCGAAGGCGUCUGACUAGAACGGGUCUGACGGUGAGGGACGAAGCCCUGGGGCGCAAACCGGAUUAGAUACCCGGGUAGUCCAGGGUGUAAACGCUGCUUGCUUGAUGUUAGUCGGGCUCCGAGCCCGAUUAGUGUCGGAGAGAAGUUGUUAAGCAAGCUGCCUGGGAAGUACGGUCGCAAGGCUGAAAC